Entelurus aequoreus (snake pipefish) is the source of this 866-nucleotide long non-coding RNA. RefSeq lists it as uncharacterized. NCBI's taxonomy places the organism in Eukaryota, Metazoa, Chordata, Actinopteri, Syngnathiformes, Syngnathidae. The transcript has 3 exons. The record is from RefSeq and is a predicted model, not a curated record.
AAGAUGGCCGCCAGGUGCGGUGGCUAAGCCUGGGCACAUCUGAAGCCGGUGCCGACCAUCAGGGCCGAGUUGCGACGAGAGAGUGUUAUUAAGCCGAGUUGGCCAGGUCCCUAAGUCUUGGAUGGCGAGCUGUAGAUAGGCCUUGAGCCUGAGCCCAAGGAUCUCCACCUCUCAACCCCUGAACUCCACCUGCUCUGGUCGGGCCGGUAGGCGGCUUAUAGCCGAACCCCUUGCCUCGCACCUCAUUACUCUGCAGCCCUUUGCACUACCUCAUACACACCCUGCCCAUAAACUGAACUGUCACUACAAACUGCCAUAUCCACAACCCCAACCCUGGGACCCCAUUUUGAAAAUUCCUAGCGCCAACACUGCUGUCAACAGAGGAGAAAAAUGCUUUGAUUAAAUAAAUAUAUUAUUUAUAAAGCAAGUUCGAGUAUCAUUGGCAAAUUUUCACCUAGUCCCCGCCUUGGCACGCAUAUAUGUCCUCUUUUUGGGAUUUCAGAAUAUGGUCAGCCUAUUUAAUAAUUGUUUGUACAGUUAAAAGUUCUAUAUGAUAGCGACGUAUAUAUCUUUACUUCCACUCAUUUCUAAUGGGAAAACGGUUUCAUGUGUGGUCCGACCACAUGUUGACAUUCCAGAGGUAGAAUAGCUUGCAAGUGUUUGAAGUCCCUGCAGCACAUAAUCCAGGCCUGCAGGCCACCACACAGCGGGGCCGCUUGUAAACAAAUGUCAUUCUGCAGGAAUGUUCUACACACUGUAACUGAGUUAAAUAUGUACGGUGAGGGUUUUAUAGGUGCUUGCUCAUCUGAGAUUCACAGUGGUGGUUUGUAUCUGAAGCCACAAAAACUUCCUGCAGGUCGUUUUAU